This 416-nucleotide ribosomal RNA is filed under the name uncultured bacterium. Its description in RNAcentral is "bacterial SSU rRNA". It matches the Rfam family "Bacterial small subunit ribosomal RNA", at positions 358 to 772 of the family's 1533-position model. The record is from RNAcentral.
GGAAUAUUGGGCAAUGGGCGAGAGCCUGACCCAGCCAUGCCGCGUGCCGGAUGAAGGCCUUCUGGGUUGUAAACGGCUUUUCUCAGGGAAGAAAAAGACCAUGCGUGGUACACUGACGGUACCUGAGGAAUAAGCAACGGCUAACUCCGUGCCAGCAGCCGCGGUAAUACGGAGGGUGCAAGCGUUGUCCGGAUUUAUUGGGUUUAAAGGGUGCGUAGGCGGCCCGUUAAGUCCGGGGUGAAAGCCCACAGCUCAACUGUGGAACUGCCCUGGAUACUGGCGGGCUUGAGUCCAGACGAGGUUGGCGGAAUGGAAGGUGUAGCGGUGAAAUGCAUAGACACCUUCCAGAACCCCGAUUGCGUAGGCAGCUGACUAGGCUGGUACUGACGCUGUGGCACGAAAGCGUGGGGAGCGAA